AUUGAACGCUAGCGGGAUGCUUUACACAUGCAAGUCGAACGGAGUGGCGGACGGGUGAGUAAUAUCUCGGAACGUGCCCAGGAGCGGGGGAUAACUACUCGAAAGAGUGGCUAAUACCGCCUCCUAUUUGCGCGUCCGAUUUCGGAUUAUCUAGUGGGUGGGGUAAAGGCGCCCCAAGGCAACGAUCCGUAGCUUGUUUGAGAGGACGACCAGCCACACUGGGACUGAGACACGGCCCAGACUCAUACGGGAGGCAGCAGUGGGGAAUUUUGGACAAUGGGGGAAACCCUGAUCCAGCCAUCCCGCGGGUAUGAUGAAGGCCUUCGGGUUGUAAAGUACUUUUGGCAGAGAAGCGGUAUCUGCAGAAUAAGCACCGGCUAACUACGUGCCAGCCGCCGCGGUAAUUC
Molecule: ribosomal RNA, 407 nt
Filed under: uncultured bacterium
Lineage: Bacteria
Description: partial 16S ribosomal RNA
Rfam family: Bacterial small subunit ribosomal RNA
Source: RNAcentral